Long non-coding RNA from Ctenocephalides felis (cat flea), 1513 nucleotides. RefSeq lists it as uncharacterized. Lineage: Eukaryota; Metazoa; Arthropoda; Insecta; Siphonaptera; Pulicidae. The record is from RefSeq and is a predicted model, not a curated record. The transcript has 7 exons.
AAAUGCUCCUGUAAUCGCUUCGAAGUAUCAGGCGAACAGAAACGUCAGAAUCUAUAUAUGAAAGUGUAAUGUUACUCGUGCACAAUGUAUGGUGUGACUAUAACGAAUUCAAAUAACCUCAAUGUGCUUUUAACUUGUAAGGAAACAAAAAGGAAAAAUUAAAUGAAAUAUAUUAUUGAUGAAAUAUGUAAAUUAAACAGAAAAACAGAGAUGAUGAAUAGAAGAUCGAUGUUAUGGAUUCUUUCACUGUUGCAAGUAUACAUACUUUGGAGAAUUAUAAUUGUUCGGGAUGGUAACAGGAUUGUCCCUGUACUUCAGAGAUAAAGAGACAAGUUCUGAUACAUAUAUUAAUAGAAGUAUGCAUUUAUGCUGAUUUCCAAAUGAUGAUGUCUUUAAAAAUAUAAAUAUAGGUAAUUCCAAGAAAAUGUGUAAAUAGAAUAGAAUGACAUGAUAAAUGCCAUUGAUAAAUCAAACUAGUAAUGCCAGUAUAUUAAACAUCAGUUGUGAUCACAUGAAAUCACAAAUGAAUUGAUUUCAAAGUAUUAUGGACUCCAGUUGCAUAUAUAUAAACUCUAGAGAAAAAUAAUUGUUCAGGAAGGUAACAGAGGCUUAUUUCUGUACUUCGAUGAGACAAGUGAGACAAGUUCUGAUACAUAUAUUAAUGGAAGAAUGUUUUUAAACCGAGUGUGACACUUUAAUUUAAGGUUACCAUUACCUAGAAUAGACCAAGUCUGAUUUUCGAAUGAUACUCUUUUCAAAUAUAAAUGAAUGUUUUGGAAAUCAUAAUGUUUAUUUAUACCUUUUUAUUGCCAAAGAAAAAGCAGGUGACAAUUGAAAUAUGUUAACAAAUAAAUAUUUCAAGUAAAUGAAUGCAAAUUAAUGAAUUUAUAUGAAAUGAUGUGAUGAAUGCACAUUAAUGAAUAAAUGCUCAAAAUAGAACCCAGAUUUAAUGAAUAUUAUGGCAAUAAAUUACUCAAUGUUGAGCUUACAUAGAUGUGAUCUCUUCGUAUUGUGUCAGGAGAUUCUGAGACUAUGGAGCGAUGUAGCUAUCCAGAUUUUCUGCGAACACUAGAAAUCCUGGUUCCUGAGUUCUGAAUCUUACAAUGGACAGCAUAAUUUUGGAAUACUACUAACUGUAUAUCUUGCAGUUUCUUACAGACCCCAUGCACACUUUGUUUGUUUACACAAACACCUCUUAAUAAACUCAAUUUAAAACAAUUUGGUGAAAUCUAUCAGAUGCUAUGAAGACCGAAUAAGGAAGAUAAAAUAUCUGAGCAUGAAUAUUAUAAUAAUGUGGAGAGCGAGUUGUUCUUGUACCUUUGAGAAGCAGUGACUACUUUUAGUUAUAUAUGAUGUUCUUUAUAUUAACUUUAUAUCAAUUGAAGUUCAGAAUUUCUUGUAAAUGAAAUUUAUGGAGUUUUCAAUGAACUGUUUGAAAAUAGAUUAGAUAGAUAGUUCAAGGUAUAUAUAUAUAUAUAUAUAUGCCAAGUUGAAUCCAUGGACUUCUACCCGC